CUAUAAGGAUUCCAAGUUCAAUCCAAUGCUUAACUAUAAGGAUGCAAUGCUCAUAUGACCCUUAACUAUAAGGUUGUUAUGUCAUAAUGUCAACUAUCUCACUUUACUUGUAUUUUUUAACUUUCAUUAGUACCACUUACACUAUAUGUUCUUUAUACUCAUUCACAUGCAUUCUUGAUUCACUAAUAUCACACACUAA
Molecule: long non-coding RNA, 199 nt
Filed under: Ananas comosus (pineapple)
Lineage: Eukaryota; Viridiplantae; Streptophyta; Magnoliopsida; Poales; Bromeliaceae
Description: long non-coding RNA (ACOM_LNC000696)
Source: RNAcentral